Canis lupus familiaris (dog) is the source of this 306-nucleotide non-coding RNA. The record is from Rfam. NCBI's taxonomy places the organism in Eukaryota, Metazoa, Chordata, Mammalia, Carnivora, Canidae.
GAGUCACCUGGCAGAGACAUCUGCUACCACAUGGACCUCAGGAUUGUCUUGGCACCUUUGCCUGGCAUGGCAGGUGUCUACAUCUUCCUUCACAACUUCAAGUUAAUCUUUCCACAUCUGCAGUUUCUGGGAAAGAUGUCACUCUUCCCACAUAGAGGGAGAUGUUUCUAAAUUAAGGUUAUGGAAAUAAGAAGGUAGAUUUUUAGAGCUUCUAGAGCCAAAUCUCAAAGCCCCCCUGCCAAAAAAAGUAUGUUGAUUUUCAUUUAUUUCUAGAAAAUUACCUGUCAGGGGUAGGUAGUUUUCACU